GUUGGUGUCAUAGUUUAGAUAAGUGGACCAUCAGUCAUCAGUGCAUCCUCUAUCUCGAAUAUGUACAAUAAAUGGACACUAGAUGGUGAUAUAUAAACAAGUAGACAGAACUUUACGUGGAGCUUAAACUGAACUGAAAGUAACGUGAAACAUAACUUUGCUCGUUUCAGUUUUUGUUAUCAGUUUCAGUUUUCAAGUGUAGUGGAGCCCAGGCCUAAUACAAUUUUUUUACAUAACAAGCUACAUCCUAUUUAAUUUUAUCUAUAUCUCUUUAUUAAUAAAAUAGUAAUAAUAAGUUUGACUAUUUAUAUUUUGUAAUACAAAUGCCUUUAAAUACAGAACUAGGAUUUUGCUGUGUAAUAAAUAGUGAAGUUUGGUUAUUUUGUAAUAUUGUGACAAACAUUGUGAACUUGGGGCUAUUAAUUUUAAAAUUUCUCAGAAUUUCAUUAAAAGAUGAAGAGAUUAACUUUUUAAAUUUCCAAGAGUAUUUGUUGUGUAUAAUGAAUAAUAAGAGCAUCUUAAAAAUUUUAAUAAAAAAAAUUGUUACUUACCACCAGUAAAGAAGUUUUUGUAUGUUUUUGGUAUUGUCAUCGUCCGCAAGAUCACAUUCUGUUCUUAGUGAUUUAUUGUUUGAUAAAUUUUUUAUCAUUUGUAUUUUUCUAUACAACCAUUCUGUAAAUUCUUAUAAAAAUCCUGAAAUAAUGAAC
Molecule: long non-coding RNA, 707 nt
Filed under: Androctonus crassicauda
Lineage: Eukaryota; Metazoa; Arthropoda; Arachnida; Scorpiones; Buthidae
Source: RNAcentral